RNAcentral lists this long non-coding RNA (1092 nucleotides) under Olea europaea subsp. europaea. The record is from RNAcentral. Lineage: Eukaryota; Viridiplantae; Streptophyta; Magnoliopsida; Lamiales; Oleaceae.
CUUUAGUUCAAACGUCUUUUCUUAGGUAUGGGACUUGACUUGCUAGCUUACGGCGCAUUUAUUGCUUGCACAGGUCCUUUAUACUAGUGACAAGACUUGACCUUUAUGCUUGUGACAAACGUUCCAUCAGUCAUUCGAAUAAGAUCUCUGAGCAGGCGAUCUCUUGGGAGAAGUGAUAGUGGAGGAAGCUCUUUGUGGUUAAGAGGCUCGUGCAUCAACUUCAAGGCUUCGACCAUUUGACAAAUACUUCCACUUGAGGACCUCAGCUACAUCCAACAGGUUCCAUGCCUCGGGGUCAUGGGCCUCGGUAGUUGGACUUCGGUAGGUUUGCGUACAUCGGAUCGAGGAGCCUCGGCUUGAAGCACUUUGGAUAUAACCCACCUCGGCAAUGUGUGCCACCUCGACAGGAAUGCCACGUGGAUCAGGAUGAGUGGGCCAUUGGCCCAGGUGGGUAGGACAGGUGUGACAACACGCAACAAUAGUCCCCCAAGUCCAAGUAUAAUCAUUAAUGUAAUGCGUGAACUUUAAUGGAGUAAAAGUUGAAAGAAUUUUUGAACCCCAAAUAGUAGUCCCCCAAGUCCAAGCAUAGAUAUUUAUAUCAUGGUUGGAGUUUGAGAAGUGUUGCUGUGGGUGAGCGAUGAAGUAGGCGAGGUGUUUGAACUCUGAAGAUGAGCCGAGGUGGUUGAGAAGCCGAACCUACGAGGUUUUGAUGCUGAAUGGCGAAGAGGAAGCCGAGGUGGUUGAGGAACCGAACCUGCGAGGUUUGAUUGCUGAAUGGCGAGGAGGAAGCCGAGGUGGUUGAGUAACCGAACCUGCGAGGCUUGAUUGCUGAAUGGCGAAGAGGAAGCCGAGGUGGAUGAGGAACCAAACAUGCAAGGCUUGCCGAGGUCCAAUGGUAAUGAUUGUGCGUUGGUUGUUGUGCCAAUGAUUUGAUGUUUUGUGCUUGUUUUCGAGGAAAGGUAGCUGAAUCGUUACGACUUCCAAGGCGCUGGUGCCGUCGAAUUAAAAAUGUAAUUAUGAGGGCAGCUGGCGUUUCUAGAAGCAGACGCGUUGGAGAGGUGCGUGGGAGGCACGCAUAGAUAUGAGGCGUAG